ACGCGUGACCUCAACACGCGUCUGCCAGCGUGGCUGGCGCGUCUGUUAUACACGCUAGAGCAGUUCCGGAUUUCGCUAGCACCGAGUCCAGUGACCGGAGUUUGAUAGUAGCCCGGAGCACAAUU
Molecule: non-coding RNA, 125 nt
Organism: Ancylostoma duodenale
Lineage: Eukaryota; Metazoa; Nematoda; Chromadorea; Rhabditida; Ancylostomatidae
Source: Rfam